RNAcentral lists this ribosomal RNA (261 nucleotides) under uncultured prokaryote. RNAcentral's name for it is "partial 16S ribosomal RNA". It matches the Rfam family "Bacterial small subunit ribosomal RNA", at positions 524 to 784 of the family's 1533-position model. The record is from RNAcentral.
UACGUAGGGUGCGAGCGUUGUCCGGAAUUAUUGGGCGUAAAGAGCUUGUAGGCGGUUUGUCGCGUCUGCUGUGAAAAUCCGGGGCUCAACCCCGGACUUGCAGUGGGUACGGGCAGACUAGAGUGCGGUAGGGGAGACUGGAAUUCCUGGUGUAGCGGUGAAAUGCGCAGAUAUCAGGAGGAACACCGAUGGCGAAGGCAGGUCUCUGGGCCACUACUGACGCUGAGAAGCGAAAGCAUGGGGAGCGAACAGGAUUAGAUA